This 23-nucleotide non-coding RNA is filed under the name Arabidopsis thaliana (thale cress). Lineage: Eukaryota; Viridiplantae; Streptophyta; Magnoliopsida; Brassicales; Brassicaceae. The record is from RNAcentral.
AAUAACGGUACACACCAUAUGGA